CCUACGGGUGGCAGCAGUGGGGAAUAUUGCACAAUGGGCGCAAGCCUGAUGCAGCCAUGCCGCGUGUGUGAAGAAGGCCUUCGGGUUGUAAAGCACUUUCAGCGGGGAGGAAGGCGGUGUGGUUAAUAACCUCACCGAUUGAUGUUACCCGCAGAAGAAGCACCGGCUAACUCCGUGCCAGCAGCCGCGGUAAUACGGAGGGUGCAAGCGUUAAUCGGAAUUACUGGGCGUAAAGCGCACGCAGGCGGUCUGUCAAGUCGGAUGUGAAAUCCCCGGGCUCAACCUGGGAACUGCAUUCGAAACUGGCAGGCUAGAGUCUUGUAGAGGGGGGUAGAAUUCCAGGUGUAGCGGUGAAAUGCGUAGAGAUCUGGAGGAAUACCGGUGGCGAAGGCGGCCCCCUGGACAAAGACUGACGCUCAGGUGCGAAAGCGUGGGGAGCAAACAGGAUUAGAUACCCGCGUAGUC
RNAcentral lists this ribosomal RNA (465 nucleotides) under uncultured bacterium. RNAcentral's name for it is "bacterial SSU rRNA". It matches the Rfam family "Bacterial small subunit ribosomal RNA", at positions 338 to 795 of the family's 1533-position model. The record is from RNAcentral.